This 253-nucleotide ribosomal RNA is filed under the name uncultured bacterium. RNAcentral's name for it is "partial 16S ribosomal RNA". It matches the Rfam family "Bacterial small subunit ribosomal RNA", at positions 524 to 776 of the family's 1533-position model. The record is from RNAcentral.
GACGGAGGAUGCAAGCGUUAUCCGGAAUAACUGGGCGUAAAGCGCACGUAGGCGGAUUUGUAAGUCAGGGGUGAAAUCCCGGGGCUCAACCUCGGAACUGCCUUUGAUACUGCAAGUCUAGAGUCCGGAAGAGGUGAGUGGAAUUCCUAGUGUAGAGGUGAAAUUCGUAGAUAUUAGGAAGAACACCAGUGGCGAAGGCGGCUCACUGGUCCGGAACUGACGCUGAGGUGCGAAAGCGUGGGGAGCAAACAGG